UACGUAGGGUGCGAGCGUUAAUCGGAAUUACUGGGCGUAAAGCGUGCGCAGGCGGUUUUGUAAGCCAGAUGUGAAAUCCCCAGGCUCAACCUGGGAACUGCAUUUGAAACUCCCUUUCUUGAGUAUCGGAGAGGAAAGCGGAAUUCCUGGUGUAGAGGUGAAAUUCGUAGAUAUCAGGAGGAACACCAGUGGCGAAGGCGGCUUUCUGGACGGUUACUGACGCUGAGACGCGAAAGCGUGGGGAGCAAACAGG
This 253-nucleotide ribosomal RNA is filed under the name uncultured bacterium. RNAcentral's name for it is "partial 16S ribosomal RNA". It matches the Rfam family "Bacterial small subunit ribosomal RNA", at positions 524 to 776 of the family's 1533-position model. The record is from RNAcentral.